UAAGAUAGAAAUAAGUUAGUAUUUAAAAUGCAAACAAAAAUCAUCAGACUAAAUAAAAUUCCAAGCAGGGAUAUAAAACACGAAUAUAAAAAGUCUGAUAUUUAAAAUGCAAACAAACAACACAGCAAAGCGGUAAAACUUGCUGCGCUUACAAAAAUGUAAUCAGGGGUUCUCACAAAAUCACAAAAACACAUAAAAACACAUAAUAAUAAUAAAAGAGCCGCCACCGUCGAUCAAGAACCCAAUUCUGGGAACAAAAGUUGGGAGAUGAUGGUGGAAACUUCAAACUAAGUACGAAAAACAAUCUACCUAGCGAUGACACAAGAGUACAAGCAAGAAACCAGCAUUUAUUGUAACCAUCCCCUGAUGAAUCACCCAGCACGAUUCACUUCUUCUUCUGGGCAGCCUUGGUGACCUUGGCUCCAGUGGGAUCCUUCUUCUCAACGUUCUUGAUGACUCCCACAGCAACAGUUUGACGCAUGUCCCUCACAGCAAAACGUCCAAGAGGUGGGUACUCAGAGAAAGUCUCCACAACCAUUGGUUUGGUAGGAACCAUCUUCACGAAACCAGCAUCACCGUUCUUCAAGAACUUAGGCUCCUUCUCGAGCUCUUUGCCAGAACGCCUGUCAAUCUUGGUCAUAAGUUCAGCGAACUUGACAGCAAUGUGGGAGGUGUGGCAAUCCAGAACAGGGGCAUAGCCAUUUCCAAUCUGACCAGGGUGGUUCAUGAUGAUAACCUGGGAGGUGAAGUUAGCAGCCUCCUUAGCAGGAUCAUCCUUGGAGUUUGAAGCAACAUAACCACGCUUGAGAUCUUUAACAGCAACAUUCUUCACAUUGAAACCGACGUUGUCACCAGGGAGAGCUUCUGUGAGAGCUUCAUGGUGCAUCUCGACAGACUUAACUUCAGUUGUCAGUCCAGUUGGUGCAAAAGUCACCACCAUUCCAGGCUUGAUGACACCAGUUUCAACACGUCCGACAGGAACAGUUCCGAUUCCUCCAAUCUUGUAGACAUCCUGAAGAGGAAGCCUGAGGGGCUUGUCUGAUGGCCUCUUGGGCUCAGUGAUCUGGUCAAGUGCCUCGAGCAAGGUAGGUCCCUUGUACCAGUCAAGGUUUGUGGACCUCUCAAUCAUGUUGUCUCCCUCAAAACCAGAGAUUGGAACAAAAGGAAUCUUGUCUGGAUUGUAUCCCACUUUCUUCAAGUAGGAGGAGACUUCCUUCACAAUUUCAUCAUACCUAGCCUUGGAGUACUUGGGUGUAGUAGCAUCCAUCUGAUCCACAGAAAGACAACAACAUCAGUUAAAACAAAUUAAAUUCAAAAGUAAUCAAUACAAGAGAAAUUAUUCAAAGGCUUAAAAUCUAAAACAUAAUUAACCUUGUUACAGCAACAAAUCAUCUGCUUCACACCAAGAGUGAAUGAAAGAAGAGCAUGUUCACGAGUCUGCCCAUCCUUAGAAAUUCCAGCUUCAAAACCACCAGUGGUGGAAUCAAUGAUCAGCACAGCACAGUCAGCUUGGGAUGUCCCUGUAAUCAUGUUCUUAAUGAAAUCCCUGUGUCCGGGAGCAUCAAUAACAGUGCAGUAGUACUUGGUGGUUUCAAACUUCCACAACGCAAUAUCAAUUGUAAUCCCUCUUUCACGCUCAGCCUUAAGCUUGUCAAGCACCCAGGCAUACUUGAAUGACCUCUUGUUCAUCUCAGCAGCUUCCUUCUCGAACCUCUCAAUCACACGCUUGUCAAUUCCUCCAAGCUUGUAAAUCAGAUGGCCAGUGGUAGUAGACUUCCCAGAGUCGACAUGGCCAAUGACCACAAUACUGAUGUGAACCUUUUCCUUACCCAUAAUUGCCUUUGGAAAUCUGCAAAAAACAAGAGUCAAAACAAUUAUUAAUAUCGAUGAAAUCAAUAAAUAGCCACAGACCACAAAAAAUGAGGUGAGAUUCGCCAUUUACAUAGCAAUGGUGCAUAGCCAUAGAAAAAAAUCAGGUAAUAUCUAUAAAAGACAACAAAUGUAUUACACACAAAGUAAGGGGUAAUACCUAAAAAUAUCAAACCAAUAACCAUAAAAUUAUCGGACAAUAUCUAAAACCCCAUCAUACAAAAUUGGAAAACAUGCAUGAGCAUAAAAAAUAUCAGAUAAUACGUAAAAUCAAAUAAAAAAGCACAUGCAAUCGGGUAUAAUCAAUUAAAGUGAAUCGGACCCAGAAUUUAUACCCUCACGCAGAUCAGAUUAUAGACAAGUCAAAAUAAAGAUACAACAUCACAUGCAAUCAAGAUUCAUGACAACCACACAUUAAACAUGUCAUCACAUAAAUAAUCACCAAAACCUGGUAAAAUCAACGACUUGAAUCGGUUAAAACGAAAAGUUAAUAGAUCUAUUCAUCAGAAAUAAGAAAAAUCGAAAACAAAACUUUUAUCAGAUCUGGAUCUGGAAUUUGAAUAUGCGUAGCACACAAAUCCACAAAAAUCAAAUCAAAUCUAGCUAUUCCAUAGCUAUAAAAGAAAACGAAAAAAAAAAUCAUUUUUUGAAAACAUCUCACCGAUUAUAACCAUCAACUCAAACAAAAAUCGAAAACAACAUAAAAUUCAUAUGGGAAGAUAAAAAUUUAUCAACAAAGCUUAGAUAAAUUGAAGACAUCGGCGAUAGAUACCUAUUAAAUCGAAAUAAGAGAACGUACCUAGAAGCUGCGCUAAAACCCUAGCCGCAAGAGAAGAGAGGCGAAGAAUAGAGUGAAGAGAAGUGAGGAAACGAGGGUUAGAGGGUUUAUUUAUAGGCUCCAAGUGGUUUCCCUAUGUUGACAAAAGUACCCUCAGUAUUUUACGUAGUUCCAUUUGUGUCCUGUUUGCUUUCGCUGGCGGUGCGGGCGGGUCCGAGAAUGUCGUGACGAAGCCCUAGGUAACGUUAGUUCAAUUAUGCG
This 2908-nucleotide long non-coding RNA is filed under the name Vigna radiata. RNAcentral describes it as "long non-coding RNA (VRAD_LNC000434)". Lineage: Eukaryota; Viridiplantae; Streptophyta; Magnoliopsida; Fabales; Fabaceae. The record is from RNAcentral.